GGUAUUAUACCUUAGUGGUAGGGCACAUGCUUAGCAUGCACGAGGUCUUGGGUUCAAUCCCCAGUAUCUCCA
This 72-nucleotide transfer RNA is filed under the name Camelus bactrianus (Bactrian camel). It matches the Rfam family "tRNA". Rfam says of the family: Transfer RNA (tRNA) molecules are approximately 80 nucleotides in length. Their secondary structure includes four short double-helical elements and three loops (D, anti-codon, and T loops). Further hydrogen bonds mediate the characteristic L-shaped molecular structure. tRNAs have two regions of fundamental functional importance: the anti-codon, which is responsible for specific mRNA codon recognition, and the 3' end, to which the tRNAs corresponding amino acid is attached (by aminoacyl-tRNA synthetases). tRNAs cope with the degeneracy of the genetic code in two manners: having more than one tRNA (with a specific anti-codon) for a particular amino acid; and 'wobble' base-pairing, i.e. permitting non-standard base-pairing at the 3rd anti-codon position. RNAcentral also lists the same sequence under 2 other names. Lineage: Eukaryota; Metazoa; Chordata; Mammalia; Artiodactyla; Camelidae. The record is from Rfam by way of RNAcentral.